GAAAUGCGAUAAGUAAUGUGAAUUGCAGAAUUCAGUGAAUCAUCGAAUCUUUGAACGCACAUUGCGCCCGCCAGUAUUCUGGCGGGCAUGCCUGUCCGAGCGUCAUUUCAACCAUCAAGCCCCCGGGCUUGUGUUGGGGACCUGCGGCUGCCCGCAGGCCCUGAAAACCGGUGGCGGGCUCGCUGUCACACCGAGCGUAGUAGCAAUCACCUCGCUCAGGGCGUGCUGCGGGUUCCGGCCGUUAAACAGCCUUACAAAACCCAAGGUUGACCUCGGAUCAGGUAGGAAGACCCGCUGAACUUAAGC
Molecule: unclassified non-coding RNA, 306 nt
Filed under: plant metagenome
Description: partial contains 5.8S ribosomal RNA, internal transcribed spacer 2, and large subunit ribosomal RNA
Rfam family: 5.8S ribosomal RNA (bases 1-105)
Source: RNAcentral